This 459-nucleotide ribosomal RNA is filed under the name uncultured bacterium. Its description in RNAcentral is "partial 16S ribosomal RNA". It matches the Rfam family "Bacterial small subunit ribosomal RNA", at positions 338 to 795 of the family's 1533-position model. The record is from RNAcentral.
CCUACGGGAGGCAGCAGUGAGGAAUAUUGGUCAAUGGCCGGAAGGCUGAACCAGCCAAGCCGCGUGAAGGACGAAGGUGCCAAGCAUUGUAAACUUCUUUUGUCAAGGGACAAAAUCAGGCUCGAGAGCCUGACCGAGGGUACUUGAAGAAAAAGCAUCGGCUAACUCCGUGCCAGCAGCCGCGGUAAUACGGAGGAUGCGAGCGUUAUCCGGAUUUAGUGGGUUUAAAGGGGGCGUAGGCGGACUGUUAAGUCAGCGGUAAAAGCCCGGGGCUCAACCCCGGCGAGCCGUUGAAACUGGGUGUCUUGAGAUGUCGAGAGGUAUGCGGAAUGCGCAGUGUAGCGGUGAAAUGCUUAGAUAUUGCGCAGAACUCCGAUUGCGAAGGCAGCAUACCGGCGGCGAUCUGACGCUGAGGCACGAAAGCGUGGGUAUCGAACAGGAUUAGAUACCCGAGUAGUC